Molecule: non-coding RNA, 147 nt
Organism: Arachis ipaensis
Lineage: Eukaryota; Viridiplantae; Streptophyta; Magnoliopsida; Fabales; Fabaceae
Source: RefSeq, a predicted model, not a curated record
ACAAUGUUCAGUGAGCAGUACACACUCAUUUGUGCAAUUUAGAAACAAAGAUCAAUAUCAGUAUGAAAUAUCUCCUUAGCUCUCCAUUUUUUGCAUUCAAUCUCAGCUGCCUAUCCGCUAGGGAAGACCAUUAUUAAAAUGACAAAA